RNAcentral lists this long non-coding RNA (446 nucleotides) under Homo sapiens (human). Its description in RNAcentral is "HSALNT0384963". The record is from RNAcentral. Lineage: Eukaryota; Metazoa; Chordata; Mammalia; Primates; Hominidae.
CUUGGGUUUGCGUGACGGUUCCACAUCACCGACCCUCCGCCUCUUGGGUUCGGCGGCCCUCCGCCUCUUGGGUUUGCGUGACGGUUCCACGUCACCGACCCUCCGCCUCUUGGGUUCGGGAGGUGGUUCCAUCUCAGCCGCCCUCUGCCUCUUGGGUUUGCGUGGUUUUUCUGCCUCAGCCUCCUGAGUAGCUAAGGGAGGUGUCUUGAGAUUAUCAUCGGCUGAGGGUGGAAGCGGCCCCCGCAGACGCUCGGCAGGUGUCUUGAUAUUAUCAUCUGCUGAGGGUGGAAGGGCAGUGAGCUGACGCUCGGAAGGUGUCUUGAGAUUAUCAUCCGCUGAGGGUGGAAGGGGAGUGAGCAGACACUCGGGAGGUGUCUUGAGGCUCAGGGAGUUAUCAGUUAUAGAAUGUUGUUGAGUUGGAGGAGGUGGCUGGUGGCCCAUCCUGU